RNAcentral lists this long non-coding RNA (1040 nucleotides) under Anas platyrhynchos platyrhynchos (common mallard). RNAcentral describes it as "lncRNA (ENSAPLG00000031208.1)". Lineage: Eukaryota; Metazoa; Chordata; Aves; Anseriformes; Anatidae. The record is from RNAcentral.
CGCUGUCAGUGGCGGGGGCUCUGCUUGGCCCCGGGCAGCCGACGCAUAGCUCUGCCCCGGGCGGUGCCGAGCCGGUGCCGUGCCGAGCCGAGCCGAGCCGUGCCGAGCCGCCCAAGGAUGCUCCGCGCCCGGCUCCCCCGCUAGCAGGCACCUCGCGAGGCAGGCAGCAUACUGCCGGCAGCCGGCCCGGCCCCGCUACCCAGGUCUCAUGUUCCAGAGGACUGCAGCGGGAAGGAGGCAGCUGCACAAUGAACAUCAAUGUUAACGGAUACUUUAUUUGGAAAAUCCUUCAUGGUUUGGCCAGGGUACAGGCUAAAUCCUGCCUUUACCCUGUGCAACAGGACAAGCGUUUGAUAAGAGGAGCAGAAAAUGUGCAGCAGCAGGAUAGAUCCACCCUUUAGUAUGCAAAGCAUGUCCACUAGGUGAUGUACAUGCUGCAAGAGCUGCCAUAUCACCUGCUUGUCUCCCUUCAUGCUAUUGUUUACCCUCUGCUUUUGGUCGUGAUGAAAAUGUAUUAAGUUCCUUCCAAAUCAAAAGAAAGAGGCUAUCUACUUUCAGGAGUUUGCAGCCCCACGCUGAUGUAUAUUUUGAUGUCUUCUCCUUGUCUGAUGUGAUAGAUUUUAGCCUUGCUUCAUGUAUAUUUAUUUGGGGAAUUCCUUAAUUAAAUUCUAUGCUAAGGACAUUUUUUGCAUUCUUCUUUGCCUUUUGACAUUGUCAGAACUCCUAAAAACCCUUUACUGUCACACCAUACUGAAGUACUUUGCACAAGUAUAUAUGCACUGUGACAGAGAAAGAAAAGCUGGGUUAUUUUGGAAUGCAUAAGUAAAAGAUCACAUAAGCAAAAUUUAUAUAUUGAUGGUCAUUUGCAGGAAUGCCAGCUUUGUCACAACAGUCACUUAUUUUCAGGGAAAUAUGGCUUCUUAUUUAAAAAAAAAUCUUUUCACAAAAAAAAAAUCUACUGGUUAAAUAUAGCAGCAUUAAGAAAAAGAGGGAGAAAAGUGUUUUGAAAACUUUCACAGACGCAAAAAGCUUAUCUUGUC